RNAcentral lists this ribosomal RNA (253 nucleotides) under uncultured bacterium. RNAcentral's name for it is "partial 16S ribosomal RNA". It matches the Rfam family "Bacterial small subunit ribosomal RNA", at positions 524 to 776 of the family's 1533-position model. The record is from RNAcentral.
UACGUAGGGAGCAAGCGUUGUCCGGAAUCAUUGGGCGUAAAGCGCGCGUAGGUGGCCCGGUAAGUCCGCUCUGAAAGUCACAGGCUCAACCUGUGAAAGCGGGUGGAUACUGCCGGGCUAGAGUCCGGAAGAGGCGAGUGGAAUUCCUGGUGUAGCGGUGGAAUGCGCAGAUAUCAGGAGGAACACCAACGGCGAAGGCAGCUCGCUGGGACGGUACUGACACUGAGGCGCGAAAGCGUGGGGAGCAAACAGG